Molecule: ribosomal RNA, 315 nt
Filed under: uncultured eukaryote
Lineage: Eukaryota
Description: partial 18S ribosomal RNA
Rfam family: Eukaryotic small subunit ribosomal RNA
Source: RNAcentral
CCCUUAGACGUUCUGGGCCGCACGCGCGCUACACUGACCAGUGCAACAAGCAUCCGUCCUUGGCCGACAGGCUCGGGCAAUCUUUGAACGCUGGUCGUGAUGGGGAUAGACUUUUGCAAUUUUUGGUCUUCAACGAGGAAUUCCUAGUAAACGCAAGUCAUCAACUUGCAUUGAUUACGUCCCUGCCCUUUGUACACACCGCCCGUCGCACCUACCGAUUGAAUGGUCCGGUGAAGCCUCCGGAUUGCCGCGCACCUCGGUGCCGCCGAGAAGUUGGCUAAACCUUACCAUUUAGAGGAAGGUGAAGUCGUANCA